CGUUCUAAGCCAUUUGCUAAAAGCACACGUAUGACGCUUGUGUAACAGUUGGAUAUAAGUGAUAAAAUGUAUGGUCUAUUAAGUGCUUCCCCGUUAACACACCUCUGAGCCUGUUCAUAAUGUCAGAUUAGUCUCCCCCACCCCCGCCCCCUGGAUAACUAGGCAGAUACAAAGGAGGCCUGGCACCAAGGGACACGACCUGAACCUGGGGCCAGAGCCAGCACCCCAGCACCCACAGACAGGUAUUUUGAUCACCCAUGCUUUCUACUGAGAGGUUUGUAAACAAAUGGGGAAAUGAUGGAAAAAUCUACACAUAGUGAGGUAUGGGGAAGUCAUUCUGGCUUAUGCAUGGUUUGACUUAAGCUUUACUAACCAGAGCGGCCUGCCUUAUGGCCUUUUGGACAUGCAUUAAUACAUCUGCUUUGGCCUUAAGGAGGAGAAUGCAGCUGAAGGUCAGAAGGGAGUGGCUGUGGUUCAGAUGUCCAGGGUGGAAUUGGGUGGCCACUGUGGGUGUGAUUUUGGCUAUCUUCCUGUAUUGCUGAGAACUCUUAAUCUUCUGGGCUGUAUCAUACUCAGGAUGUCACUGGACAUUUUCAAAGCUGUGUCUGCUGGCAGAUGGCAUCUGCAACCUUAUGACUUGAGGGUCUCCUCUUGUAACUGCCAGCUAAAAACUGGCACUCACCAGCCACCUCUACAAGGAUUACAUCACGGGCCACUGCAGCCACUGACCUUCAACAGACCCUGAGAGGAGUUCAGGGUGGAGACCAGGCAUGGGGUGCUCUGUGCUCUGGGAAAAACUGGCAGAACACGCCUUCAGAGGGUUAGAUAUUUUCAGGUUUUCUGAGCCCAAAUUCUUGCAUCUCCUCAGAUCUAGAAAAGCUCUACAACCAUUAACAGUGACAUCUGCUCCUGUCUAGCAGCAAAGCCUCUGUCUAAACGUGGGCUUGACUGCACGCACCCCCGUCGCUCUAAUCAUGUAUGGCACUGCCCUUCCCCCACCCCUCUGGAGCAGUUCAUCAGAGCUGAGGGGCUGUCUCCCAGGCCACAGUCCUCAUUUUGUCCCAAAUAAAACUUAACUCACCACUCUCAUGUUGUGCAACUUUAUUUCAGCUGACAGUUCUGGCGACCACACAGGGACCCAGAGUGGACAUCUCGCCCUUGCCUGAACUCUACGAGGAGAUGGGGCCUCGCUGCCAGGAGAGGCCUCCUGGGCCCGUCCGCCUCCUCGGAGAGGCCACACGGAUUCGGCUUAUCUCAGUAAUCUGCCUUUGGAUGAAGAUCAGAUGUCCCUCGACCUGCAACCAGUGUUUUAUAUACUGGAAAGGACCUAAUUUAAAGGACUGUCCCCAACCUAGAUGAAAGGAUCUUUAUCAGGUACUCCUAACUACUAACUCAUGCACAGCAGAACUGAAGGGAAUGGACUCUUGGAUUAACUUCCACUUGCAAAGGGCCCCUGCACUGGACUGGCCUAUAGAGAGAGGACUGCUGACCUCAAAAUCUCCUUAAAACACGGCUCAAAGGAGAAGCUACCAGACCAGGAUGAGAAGACGACAUCUGAGGUAUAGAGUCCAGGCCUGUAGACCAGUUACCUUGAAUAUUGCUCACACCUCUGCUUAUAAACUAAAUGUAUUUCAAAAUCUUAUGCAGAGUUAAAGUUAAUCCAAUUGUCAGGUUUAUGGUCAAUUACCUCUACCCAGUACUUCUGGGUUACCUCUGGAUUUCCCUCCUCCAAGGCUCUAACUGAAUGACCCUUAGGACAUUUAUUCUAGAAGAAAAGAAAUUAUAGUUAUGGUCAGGUCACUAUUGAUAUUACCAGGUGGGAUCCCCUCACCUGGCCAAUUAAUAAUACCUGCUCUGACCCUGGCCAUAAAUAUAUUUUCUUUUAGAGUUACUCAAACUCAAGCGAUAAGCAAAAUUUCAGCCAAGGAACAUAGCUUCCUUCGAUUGUUUGAUGGACUUAUGUGGUUAACACCAGGCUAUGAUCAUUUAAGUUUAAAGACUCCUUCUAUGUUUGGAAUAAUUAAACUAUACUCAUAACACCAGGACAUUGGGCUGGGUGUCUUAUCAAUGCCUGUGUGACAUUUUCCUUAAAGAUAAGGAUUGGUACAGAACAGACUGUAAGUCAGAAGACUCGGGGAUAUACCAGGCCACACCUAAUGUUAGUUCUUGGCUUAAAUUCUCUCUCAUGACCUUACUAAUACUGCUAGCUAUAUUAUGUCUGUUUUGCCUGUUUUGCAAAAUUAUUUCUUGCAUUACCAAACGUGUCACUGAGCCUCUGAUAAAAUGAUGACCAGGUGACCUGAAGCAGUUAAGCCAAUGUAUAUUUGUAUGAGGUAAAUGACUGUCAUAGUGUAACUCUGGACAUGGAAAGAAGCAACAAGACGGAAUUUCUUUUUAUCUGGACCAUGACAGACCAGUGAAACAGGUGGCCCAGAAAGGUUUGGCUACUGUUAAGUAACAGCAAACUGUGUAGCCUAUCAGCGAAAUCUUGCCCUGACCUAGGAAUAAGCAUUCCUAGUACCACGGAAUGAAAUGGUCAUGAAAAUGCUUCCCCAGCCACGAUCAAAUUUAUUACCAAAGGGGUUCUACCAACUAAACACUGGCACUCACUGUCUUAACGCUUUAGAGGCAAUCACCUUGGCACUUGCCGCCUACCUGUACAAGGAUUAAAUCAUGAGCUGCUGCAGCCACUGACCUUCAUUCAACACACCUUGAAAGGAGUCCAGGAUGGAGAUCAGGAAUGAGGUCUCUCUGCUCUGAGAAAACUGGCAGAACAGGUCUUCAAACAGAUAUUUUCAGAAUUUAUGAGCCCAAAGUCUUGCGUCUCCUCAUAUCUAGAAAAGCACUACAAUCAUUAACAGUGACAUCUGCUCCUCCUGACUAGCAGCAAGCCUCUGCCUAAAUGUGUGCCUGAAUGCACGCACCUGCCUUCCACUAAAAUCAUAUAUAAUACUUAACUCCCCGCUACCCCCGGAGCAGCUCCUCAGAGCUAUCGCAAAUGCUGUCUCCCGGGCUACAGUCCUCAUUUUGUCCCAAACUGAACUAAACUCGCAACUCUCACAUCCUGUGAUUUUAUUUUAGUCAAUAUAACUUAAAAUUUUUAGACAAUAAAACUGUUUCAGAUCAGAUGUUAGCAGAAAAAAGGAGACGUGUAGUAGCCCAUAGUUCUUAUCACAUAUAUGUUGAUACCACAUCCAAAGUGAAAACCUACUAGGUAAACGUACACAACUGGCUGCCUGGCUACAAGUCUUCUGUAAAGUGCCAGGUCCAGACUGCUUUUCAGGCUUAUGCUCCUGAAUCCUCACGGAAUGAGAAAGGUCUUAUCCUACAAGACCCAGAUCUAGGACUUGGAACUUGGGAAUAUUUCCAAUUCAGUGUCCAUUCCCCAAACUGAGGUAGGACUAUGCCCUGUUUCAGUAGGAAGUAACCAGAGUGGUUGUCACCUCAUUUCCUGGGAGAUUUAGGGAAGUAUCAAACAGGAUUGGAGACUGAAACUAAAUUCUUCUGCUGAGCUCACGAUUAACCUAACUAAAACAUUGCUCCCCUUCUGUCCAACACCUGUCCUCCAGAUUGGGGAGGAGCAAAGAAAAUGGGGAGGGGGCAAGGCCUGAAACCCGACAUCAAGGACAGAAAGAAAUGAGAUAAAAAACAUUGCAUGGAGAUUAAACAACAUGCUAUUAAAAAAAAAAUCAAUGGGUCAAUGAUAAAAUCAAAGGGGAAAUUAAAAAAUACCUUAAGACAAAUGACAAUGAAAACACAGUCACAUAAAACCUAUGAAUUGCAGCAAAAGCAGUCCUAAGAAGGGAGUUCAUUGUGACACAGAGCAAAAAAGAACAAUCUCAAAAAGAAAAACCUAACCUACCACCUAAAAGAAUUAGAAAAAGAAGAACAAACAAAACCCAAAGUUAGCAGAAGGAAAGAUCAGGGAGGAAAUAAAUAAAACAGACAUCAAAAAACUAAGAGCUGUUUUUUUUUUUUUUUUUUUUUUUGAAAGAGUAAACAAAUCCAACAAACCUCUGGCUAGGCUGACCAAGAAGGAGAGAGAGAGAGGACCCAAAUAAAGAAAAAAAAAUGAAAGAGGAGAAAUUACAACAAUACCAAAGAAAUCCAAAAAGCCAUAAGAGAAUACUAUAAACAAUUAUAUGCCCAGAAGAAAUGGACAAGUUUCCAGAAACAUACUGUCUACCAAAACUGAAUCAAGAAAUAGGUAAUUUGAACAGACUGAUUACUAGAAGUGAAACAAUCAGUAAUAAAAAACUCCCUGCAGACAAAGUCCAGGACCAAUGGCUUCACUGGGGAAUUCUACAAAACCUAUCAAACAUACAAAGAACUUAUACUGAUCCUCCUCAAACUCUUCCAGAAGACUGAUGACCAAACUCAUUCUGUGAAGCCACCACUACCCUGAUUCCAAAACCAGACAAAGACACUACCAAAAAAGGAAAUUACAGGCCAAUAUCUUUGAAUAUAGAUGCAAAAAUUCUCAAUAAGAUAUUAGGAAACCAAAUCCAACAACAUAUAAAAAAGAUCAUACACUAUGAUCAAGUCAGGUUCACUUGAGGGGUCACAUGGAUGGUUCAACAUAUGCAAAUUGUUCAGUGUGAUACAACACAUUAAAAGGACAAAAAAACCACAUGAUCAUCUCAACAGAUGAAGAAAAAGCAUCUGAUAAAAUUUAACAUCCAUUCAUGAUAAAACUCUUACCAAAGUGAGUAUAGAGGGUACAUACCUCAAUAUAAUAAAAGCUAUAAAUGAGAAACCCACAGUCAACAUGAACACUCAGUGGUGAAAAGCUGAAAGCAAGCCUUCCCAGCAAAAUCUGGAACAAGACAAGGAUGCCCACUCUCACUUCUAAUCAACAUAGUAUUGGAAGACCUAGCCAUAGUAAUCAGACAAGAAAAAAGUGAUCCAAACUGGAAGGGAAGAGGUAAAAUUGUCACUAUGUGAAGAUGACAUAACACCACAUACAGAAAACUCUAAAAACUCUACAGGAAAACUACUGGAACUGAUAAAUGAAUUCAGCAAGGUAGCAGGUUACAAAAAUGCAAGAAAUUGGUUGCAUUUCUUUACACUAACAAUGAAAUAUCAGAAAAGUGAAAAGAAAAUCCCUUUUUAAAAUCCUGUUAAAAAAAUAAAUUACUUAUUUUACAGGAAUAAACCUGACCAAACAGAUGAAGACUUAUACGCUGAGAACUAUAAAACAUUGAUAAAGACUAUUAAUGACUUAAACAAAUGGAAAGAUAUCUUAUGCUCUUGCAUUGGAAGAAUUUAUAUUGUUAGAAUGGCCACACUACUCAAAACAAUUUACAGAUUUAAUGCAAUACCUAUCAAAUUACCCAGGACAUCUUUCACAGAAAUAGAACAAAUAAUAAUCCUAAAAUUUACAAGGAAUCACAAAAGACCCAGAAUUGUCAAAGCAAUAUUGAAGAAACGAAUGAAGCUGGAAACAACGCUCCCAGACUUUAGACAAUACUACAAAGCUAUAGUAAUCAAAACAGCAUGGUUUUGACACAAAAAGAGAUAUAUGGAUAAUGGAACAGAAUUGAGUGUUAUAAUACAUACCUUCAGUCAAUUAAUCUUCUACAAAGGAGGCAAGAAUAUAUAAGGAAGAAAGUGGUGUUGGGAAAGGUAGACAGCCACAUGUAAACCAAGCUCUCACAUCAUACAGAAAAAUAAACUCAAAAUGACUUAAGGACUUAUAAAUUUAAGACAGGACACAAUAAAUCUCCUAGCAGAGAAAAUAGGUCAGUCUACCAAAGCAACAAAAAUAAAAGCAACAAGAAACAAAUAGGACCUAAGUAAACUUACAAGCUUUUGCACAGCAAAGGAAGGUAUAAAAAAACUAAAAGACCAUCUACAAAAUGGGAGAAAAUACUUGCAAAUGAUGUAACUGACAAAGGCUUAAUUUCCAGAAUAUACAUACAGCUCACAUAACUGAAUAACAAAAAAGUAAACAACCCAACAACAAGUUCAUACUGUGUAGCACAGGGAACCAUAUUCAAUAUCUUGUAGUAACUUAUGGUGGAAAAGAGUAUGAAAAUGAAUAUAUGUAUGUUCCUAUAUGACCAAAAUAUUGUGCUGUACACCAGAAAUUAACACACUGUAAACUGACUAUACUUAAAUAAAAAUAUAUUUAAAAAAUAAAAUUGCAUCCCCCAAAAUAAAAUACUUAGGAAUAAAUCUGAUCAAGGAAGUGAAAGACUUAUAUGUGGACAACUACAAAACGCUGACUAAAGCAAUUAAAGAUGACUUAAAGAAAUGGAAAGAUAGCCCAUGUUCUUGGAUUAGAAGAAUUAAUAUUGUUAAAAUGGCCAUACUACCCAAAGCAAUCUACAGAUUUAAUGCAGUCCUUAUUAAAUUACCCAGAACACCUUCCACAGAAUUAGAACAAACAAUCCUAAAAUUUUAUAUGGAAUCAAAAAAGACCCAGAAUUGCCAAAGCAUUACUGAAGAAAAAGAAGGAAGCUGGAGGAAUAACCGUCCCAGACUUCAGACAAUACUACAGAGCUACAGUAAUUAAAACAGCAUGGUGUUGGUACCAAAUCAGACAUAUGGAUCAGUGGAACAGAACAGAGAGCCCAGAAAUAAACCCACAAACUUUUGGUUAGUUAUUCUUUGACAAAGGAGGCAAGAACAUACAAUGGAGUAAAGACAGUCUCUUCAGCAAAUGGUGUGGGAAAACUGGACAGCAGCAUGUAAAUCAAUGAAGUUAGAAUAUUCCCUCACACCAUACACAAAAAUAAACUCAAAAUGGCUUAAAGACUUAAACAUAAGACAAGACACUAUAAACCUCUUAGAAGAAAGUAUAGGCAAAACAUUAUCUGACAUAAAUCUCAGAAAUGUUCUCCUAGGGCAGUCUACCCAAGCAACAGAAUAAAAGCAGAAAUAAACAAAUGGGACCUAAUCAAACUUACAAGCUUUUGCACAGCAAAGGAAACCAUAAGCAAAAGAAAAAGACAACCUACAGCAUGGGAGAAAAUAUUUGUAAAAUAUGAGACUGACAAGAGCUUAAUCUCCAGAAUAUAUAAACAGCUCAUACAACUUAAUAAGAAAAAAACAAAUAAUCCAGUCCAAAAAUGGGCAGAAGGCCUAAAAAAGCAAUUCUCCAAUGAAGACAUAAUACGAAUGGCCAAUAAGCACACACAAAAAAGCUCAAUAUCGCUAAUUAUGAGAGAAAUGCAAAUCAAGACUACAAUGAGGUAUCACCACACACCAGUCAGAAUGGCCAGCAUUCAAAAGUCCACAGACAAUAAAUGCUGGAAAGGGUGUAGAGAAAAGGGAAUCCUCCUACACUGUUGGUGGGAAUAUGUUUGGUGUAGCCAUUAUGGAAAACAGUAUGGAGAUUCCUCAAAAAACUAAAAAUAAACUUACUGGUAAAUAUGAUCCAGCAAUCCACUCCUGGGCAUAUAUCCAGAGGGAACCUUAAUUCAAAAAGACACAUGCACCCCAGUGUUCAUAGCAGCACUAUUUACAAUAGCCAAGACAUGGAAACAACCUAAAUGUCCAUCGACAGAUGACUGGAUAAAGAAGUUGUGGUAUAUUUAUACAAUGGAAUACUAUUCAGCCAUAAAAAUAAUAAAACAAUGCCAUUUGCAGCAACAUGGAUGAACCUGCAGAAUGUUAUUCUAAGUGAAGUAAGCCAGAAAGAGAAAUAAAAAUACCAUAUGACAUCAGUUAUGUGAGGAAUCUUUAAAAAAAAAAAACCCAAAUGAACUUACUUACGAAACAGAAACAGACUCAGACAUAGAAAACAAACUGGUUACAGGGGAGCGGGGGAAGGGGAUGGGAAGGGAUAAAUUGGGAGUUUGAGAUUUGCAGAUACUAACUAAUAUAUAUAAAAUAGAUAAAUAACAAUUUUGUACUGUAUAGCACAGGGAACCAUAUUCAAUAUCUUAUAGUAACAUGGUAAAGAAUAUGAAAACGAAUAUAUGUAUGUUCCUAUAUGACUGAAGUAUUCUGCUGCACACCAGAAAUUGAUACAACAUUGUAAGCUAACUAUACUUCAAUAAAAAUACAUUUUAAAAAAAAUGAGCAGAAGACCUAAACAUUUUUUCAGUGAAGACAUACAGACAGUCAACAGGCACAUGAAAAAAUGCUCAAUAUUGCUAAUUAUCAGAGAAAUGCACAUGAAAACUACAAUGAGGUAUCACCUCACACCAGUCAGAAUGGCCAUCAUUCAAAAGUCCACAAACAAUAAAUGCUGGAAAAGGUGUAGAGAAAAGGGAACCGUCCUACACUGUUGGUAGGAAUGUAGUUUGGUGUAGCCGUUAUGGAAAACAGUAUGGAGAUUCCUUAAAAAAUUAAAAAUAGACUUACCAUAUGAUCCAGCAAUCACUCCUGGCCAUAUAUCCAGAGGAAACUCUUAAUUUGAAAAGACACACGCACCCCAGUGUUCAUAGCAGUACUGUUUACAAUAGCCAGGACACGGAAGCAACCUAAAUGUCCACUGACAGAUGACUGGAUAAAGAAGUUGUGGUAUAAAUAUAGUGGAAUACAACUCACCCAUAAAAAAUAAUAAAAUAAUGGCAUUUGCAGCAACAUGGAUGGACCAGGAAUAUGUCAUUCUAAGUAAGCCAGAAAGAGAAAAAAAAAAAAAAAACGGUAUGAUAUCACUUUUAUGUGGAAUCUAAAAAAAAUGGCACAAAUGAACUUAUUUGCAAAACAGACUCACAGACAUAGAAAACAAACUUAUGGUUAUUGGAGGGGGAAGCGACAAAUUAGGAUUUUGGAUUAGCUGAUAAAAACUACAACAUAUAAAAUAGGUAAACAAGUUCCUACUGUAUAGCACAGGGAACUAUAAUGUCUUGUAAUAACCUAUAAUUAAAAUGAAUAUACAUAAUACAUGUAUAACUGAAUCACUAUGCUGUACACCAGAAACUAACACAAUAUUGUAAAUCAACUAUACGGAGUCAAUUAAAAAGAAACAGGGAAGGUGGUGGAAUUGUAACUGGCAGGACCCUGUGGGGCCUUUCUGGGACAGAGCCCUCCCCCACGUCCUCUGCUGCAGCUCCUCUCUGACCUACCCAGAUGACAGUAUCUCGUGCCCAUGUCCUGAGUUUUUCAGAUGCUAAAACCACCACCAAAGGGGAGAAAUUAACUACUCGAUGAUUAUGAGCACGGAGCUCCCCCAGCUCUUCUGCCGCCCAAGGACUGACUACCAACCAAUCCGAGAACUGUGCACAGCUGAUCUCAGACCCUGGGACGCCCCAUCUCAUCUUGCUUUUGAAAAGGCUUGGCUGAAACCCUUCAGGGAGUCUGGGGUGUUGGGGGCAUGAGCCAUCCAUUUUCAAUAAACCUUUCUUUGCUCCAAA
This is a long non-coding RNA of Camelus dromedarius (Arabian camel), 9308 nucleotides long. RefSeq lists it as uncharacterized. The transcript has 2 exons. Lineage: Eukaryota; Metazoa; Chordata; Mammalia; Artiodactyla; Camelidae. The record is from RefSeq and is a predicted model, not a curated record.